GCUGCUGCAGGGUGCAACUGGGGUGGAGGGCGUGGGGGUGAGAGAGAUGUGCACAGAACUGUGGGUAGUAUUGAUAUGAAAGAGAGCAGAAGUCUAAGAUUACCAUUUGAUCUCCUCCCCAGCUUUCUGUGUAAUCACACCAUAAACUGUGAAAAACAAGAGUACAUUUUCGGAAGCUCAAGCUUUUCUUUGUUUUUAAUAUUCUGCAAUUGAACUGUGUUGGAACAGAACAUCUUCACUGUGACUUUUGGAUCAUACUCUGAAGCAGGGGCACACAGAGGCGUGAAGAUCGGGAGUGAAACAGCGUGACGAGGCAGUGUUUCCAGUGUCCUUGAGAAGACAGACGCAGUACAAGACUGUCUAUCAGUACUUGAAACCUUUUCAGGGAAGCACAGGGCCAGCGGACUCAUCCCCACACAGAAGGCAACAGGCUGAGGCCUCAGCCAGAAUGGGGUCUGAAUGACUUUGAAGAAGGCAGUGCCAGUGCCAGGCUCUGUGGGCAGUGUUUGCAGAUCGCUCUGCACUAAUGGAACUCGUGACGAAAGUCUUAUUUACAGUGAUGGAAAAAGAACAAAAAUAAUGCUAUAGAAAAUACUAUUCAAGCUUUCAAAUUGUUUGGAAAUUAAAUAAUUGUGGCACUUUGCUCUAUCAUAAUCUUUUGGAAGGCUGGAGAGAUUAUAUUGUGUCAAUUCUUUGACUAAGCUGAUCGACAUAUCUCUGCAUCUAAAGUCUUUUAUUCUGUGAAAUUUCAUCUUGUGAAUGCGACUCUCCCAGAAUGGCUCUGAUUUAAUGGACCAGCGCUGAACAUCA
Lepisosteus oculatus (spotted gar) is the source of this 810-nucleotide long non-coding RNA. RefSeq lists it as uncharacterized. The record is from RefSeq and is a predicted model, not a curated record. NCBI's taxonomy places the organism in Eukaryota, Metazoa, Chordata, Actinopteri, Semionotiformes, Lepisosteidae.